CUGCUGCCUUCCGUAAGAGUUUGGACCGUGUCUCAGUUCCAAUGUGGGGGACCUUCCUCUCAGAACCCCUACGCAUCGUCGGCUUGGUGGGCCGUUGCCCCACCAACUACCUAAUGCGCCGCAUGCCCAUCCGUGACCGGGGUCGCCCCCUUUGGCCGGCAGGGGAUGUCCCCUCCCGGCAUUAUGUUGUAUUAGGCGGGAUUUCUCCCGGUUAUCCAUCUGUCACGGCCAGGUUGCAUACGUGUUACUCACCCGUGCGCCGGUCGCCGGCGG
Molecule: ribosomal RNA, 273 nt
Filed under: uncultured bacterium
Lineage: Bacteria
Description: partial 16S ribosomal RNA
Source: RNAcentral